Molecule: ribosomal RNA, 735 nt
Filed under: uncultured bacterium
Lineage: Bacteria
Description: bacterial SSU rRNA
Rfam family: Bacterial small subunit ribosomal RNA
Source: RNAcentral
GACGAACGCUGGCGGCGCUCCUAACACAUGCAAGUCGAACGAGCGAGAGAGAGCUUGCCUUCUCAAGCGAGUGGCGAACGGGUGAGUAACGCGUGAGGAACCUGCCUCAAAGAGGGAGACAACAGUUGGAAACGACUGCUAAUACCGCAUAAGCCCACAGCUCGGCAUCGAGCAGAGGGAAAAGGAGUGAUCCGCUUUGAGAUGGCCUCGCGUCCGAUUAGCUGGUUGGUGAGGUAACGGCCCACCAAGGCGACGAUCGGUAGCCGGACUGAGAGGUUGAACGGCCACAUUGGGACUGAGACACGGCCCAGACUCCUACGGGAGGCAGCAGUGGGGAAUAUUGCACAAUGGGGGAAACCCUGAUGCAGCGACGCCGCGUGGAGGAAGAAGGUCUUCGGAUUGUAAACUCCUGUUGUUGAGGAAGAUAAUGACGGUACUCAACAAGGAAGUGACGGCUAACUACGUGCCAGCAGCCGCGGUAAAACGUAGGUCACAAGCGUUGUCCGGAAUUACUGGGUGUAAAGGGAGCGCAGGCGGGAAAGCAAGUUGGAAGUGAAAUCCAUGGGCUCAACCCAUGAACUGCUUUCAAAACUGUUUUUCUUGAGUAGUGCAGAGGUAGGCGGAAUUCCCGGUGUAGCGGUGGAAUGCGUAGAUAUCGGGAGGAACACCAGUGGCGAAAGCGGCCUACUGGGCACCAACUGACGCUGAGGCUCGAAAGUGUGGGUAGCANACAGG